GAUGAACGCUGGCGGCGUGCCUAAUACAUGCAAGUCGAGCGAACGGACGAGAAUCUUGCUUUUCUGAUGUUAGCGGCGGACGGGUGAGUAACACGUGGAUAACCUACCUAUAAGACUGGGAUAACUUCGGGAAACCGGAUCUAAUACCGGAUAAUAUUUUGAACCGCAUUGUUCAAAAGUAAAAGACGGUCUUGCUGUCACUUAUAGAUGGAUCCGCGCUGCAUUAGCUAGUUGUUAAGGUAACGGCUUACCAAGGCAACGAUGCAUAGCCGACCUGAGAGGGUGAUCGGCCACACUGGAACUGAGACACGGUCAAGACUACUACGGGAGGCAGCAGUAGGGAAUCUUCCGCAAUGGGCGAAAGCAUGACGGAGCAACGCCGCGUGAGUGAUGAAGGUCUUCGGAUCGUAAAACUCUGUUAUUAGGGAAGAACAUAUGUGUAAGUAACUGUGCACAUCUUGACGGUACCUAAUCAGAAAGCCACGGCUAACUACGUG
This 497-nucleotide ribosomal RNA is filed under the name uncultured bacterium. Its description in RNAcentral is "partial 16S ribosomal RNA". It matches the Rfam family "Bacterial small subunit ribosomal RNA", at positions 28 to 507 of the family's 1533-position model. The record is from RNAcentral.